GGGACACGUGGUAUCCUGUCUGAAUAUGGGGGGACCAUCCUCCAAGGCUAAAUACUCCUGACUGACCGAUAGUGAACCAGUACCGUGAGGGAAAGGCGAAAAGAACCCCGGCGAGGGGAGUGAAAAAGAACCUGAAACCGUGUACGUACAAGCAGUGGGAGCACGCUUAGGCGUGUGACUGCGUACCUUUUGUAUAAUGGGUCAGCGACUUAUAUUCUGUAGCAAGGUUAACCGAAUAGGGGAGCCGAAGGGAAACCGAGUCUUAACUGGGCGUUAAGUUGCAGGGUAUAGACCCGAAACCCGGUGAUCUAGCCAUGGGCAGGUUGAAGGUUGGGUAACACUAACUGGAGGACCGAACCGACUAAUGUUGAAAAAUUAGCGGAUGACUUGUGGCUGGGGGUGAAAGGCCAAUCAAACCGGGAGAUAGCUGGUUCUCCCCGAAAGCUAUUUAGGUAGCGCCUCGUGAAUUCAUCUCCGGGGGUAGAGCACUGUUUCGGCAAGGGGGUCAUCCCGACUUACCAACCCGAUGCAAACUGCGAAUACCGGAGAAUGUUAUCACGGGAGACACACGGCGGGUGCUAACGUCCGUCGUGAAGAGGGAAACAACCCAGACCGCCAGCUAAGGUCCCAAAGUCAUGGUUAAGUGGGAAACGAUGUGGGAAGGCCCAGACAGCCAGGAUGUUGGCUUAGAAGCAGCCAUCAUUUAAAGAAAGCGUAAUAGCUCACUGGUCGAGUCGGCCUGCGCGGAAGAUGUAACGGGGCUAAACCAUGCACCGAAGCUGCGGCAGCGACGCUUAUGCGUUGUUGGGUAGGGGAGCGUUCUGUAAGCCUGUGAAGGUGUGCUGUGAGGCAUGCUGGAGGUAUCAGAAGUGCGAAUGCUGACAUAAGUAACGAUAAAGCGGGUGAAAAGCCCGCUCGCCGGAAGACCAAGGGUUCCUGUCCAACGUUAAUCGGGGCAGGGUGAGUCGACCCCUAAGGCGAGGCCGAAAGGCGUAGUCGAUGGGAAACAGGUUAAUAUUCCUGUACUUGGUGUUACUGCGAAGGGGGGACGGAGAAGGCUAUGUUGGCCGGGCGACGGUUGUCCCGGUUUAAGCGUGUAGGCUGGUUUUCCAGGCAAAUCCGGAAAAUCAAGGCUGAGGCGUGAUGACGAGGCACUACGGUGCUGAAGCAACAAAUGCCCUGCUUCCAGGAAAAGCCUCUAAGCAUCAGGUAACAUCAAAUCGUACCCCAAACCGACACAGGUGGUCAGGUAGAGAAUACCAAGGCGCUUGAGAGAACUCGGGUGAAGGAACUAGGCAAAAUGGUGCCGUAACUUCGGGAGAAGGCACGCUGAUAUGUAGGUGAAGUCCCUUGCGGAUGGAGCUGAAAUCAGUCGAAGAUACCAGCUGGCUGCAACUGUUUAUUAAAAACACAGCACUGUGCAAACACGAAAGUGGACGUAUACGGUGUGACGCCUGCCCGGUGCCGGAAGGUUAAUUUAUGGGGUCAGCGCAAGCGAAGCUCUUGAUCGAAGCCCCGGUAAACGGCGGCCGUAACUAUAACGGUCCUAAGGUAGCGAAAUUCCUUGUCGGGUAAGUUCCGACCUGCACGAAUGGCGUAAUGAUGGCCAGGCUGUCUCCACCCGAGACUCAGUGAAAUUGAACUCGCUGUGAAGAUGCAGUGUACCCGCGGCAAGACGGAAAGACCCCGUGAACCUUUACUAUAGCUUGACACUGAACAUUGAGCCUUGAUGUGUAGGAUAGGUGGGAGGCUU
RNAcentral lists this ribosomal RNA (1753 nucleotides) under Escherichia coli. Its description in RNAcentral is "partial 23S ribosomal RNA". It matches the Rfam family "Bacterial large subunit ribosomal RNA", at positions 419 to 2157 of the family's 2925-position model. Lineage: Bacteria; Pseudomonadati; Pseudomonadota; Gammaproteobacteria; Enterobacterales; Enterobacteriaceae. The record is from RNAcentral.